GGGAGACGGUGAUGAGUGUUUCUUUGGAUCUAAUGAUCAAUCCUGGAGUUUGUUCUGCUCUCGCUGCAGUUGCUCAUUCACACACAAUAACAUAGAGACUGAUCUCCCUGUGAAGCACAUCAUCAGGAGAAUAGGAGUGUUUUAUGAUGAUGAUGAUGAU
This is a long non-coding RNA of Sinocyclocheilus anshuiensis, 160 nucleotides long. RefSeq lists it as uncharacterized. Lineage: Eukaryota; Metazoa; Chordata; Actinopteri; Cypriniformes; Cyprinidae. The transcript is spliced from 3 exons. The record is from RefSeq and is a predicted model, not a curated record.